UACAGAGGGGGCAAGCGUUGUUCGGAAUUACUGGGCGUAAAGGGCGCGUAGGCGGCCUGCUAAGUCGAACGUGAAAUCCCUGGGCUCAACCCAGGAACUGCGUCCGAUACUGGUUGGCUUGAAUCCGGGAGAGGGAUGCGGAAUUCCAGGUGUAGCGGUGAAAUGCGUAGAUAUCUGGAGGAACACCGGUGGCGAAGGCGGCAUCCUGGACCGGCAUUGACGCUGAGGCGCGAAAGCCAGGGGAGCAAAC
Molecule: ribosomal RNA, 250 nt
Filed under: uncultured bacterium
Lineage: Bacteria
Description: partial 16S ribosomal RNA
Rfam family: Bacterial small subunit ribosomal RNA
Source: RNAcentral